AAACAAAAACACAACAACAACUUCCUAAACAAAACAACAAAAAUUCACUGUGCUGUUUUUAGUGUUGUUGCUGUAGUUUUAGUGUUGUUGCAGUAGUUUUAGUGUUGUUGCAGUAGUUUUAGUGUUGUUGCAGUAGUUUUAGUGUUGUUGCUGUAGUUUUAGUGUUGUUGCAGUAGUUUUAGUGUUGUUGCUGUAGUUUUAGUGUUGUUGCAGUAGUUUUAGUGUUGUUGCAGUAGUUUUAGUGUUGUUGCUGUAGUUUUAGUGUUGUUGCAGUAGUUUUAGUGUUGUUGCUGUAGUUUUAGUUUUGUUGCUGUAGUUUUAGUGUUGUUGCAGUAGUUUUAGUGUUGUUGUGGUGUUUUUAGUGUUGUUGCUGUAGUUUUAGUGUUGUUGCAGUAGUUUUAGUGUUGUUGCAUUUUAGUGUUGUUGCUGUAUUUGUUUUGUUGCAGUAGUUUUAGUUUUGUUGUAGUUUUAGUUUGUUUUGUUGCAGUAGUUUUAGUUUGUUUUGUUGCAGUAGUUUUAGUUUGUUUUGUUGCAGUAGUUUUAGUUUGUUUUGUUGCAUUUUAGUUUGUUUUGUUGCAGUAGUUUUAGUUUGUUUUGUUGCAGUAGUUUUAGUUUGUUUUGUUGCAGUAGUUUUAGUUUGUUUUGUUGCAGUAGUUUUAGUGUUUUUUGUUGCUGUAGUUUUAGUGUUGUUGCUGUAGUUUUAGUGUUGUUGCUGUAGUUUUAGUGUUGUUGCUGUAGUUUUAGUGUUGUUGCAGUAGUUUUAGUUUUGUUGCAGUAGUUUUAGUUCUGUUGCAGUAGUUUUAGUUUUGUUGUAGUUUUAGUUUGUUUUGUUGCAGUAGUUUUAGUUUUGUUGCAGUA
Molecule: long non-coding RNA, 858 nt
Organism: Ictalurus punctatus (channel catfish)
Lineage: Eukaryota; Metazoa; Chordata; Actinopteri; Siluriformes; Ictaluridae
Source: Ensembl